This 244-nucleotide ribosomal RNA is filed under the name uncultured bacterium. RNAcentral describes it as "partial 16S ribosomal RNA". It matches the Rfam family "Bacterial small subunit ribosomal RNA", at positions 1257 to 1500 of the family's 1533-position model. The record is from RNAcentral.
GUGAUAUGGAGCAAAACCCUAAAAAACGGUACUCAGUUCGGAUUGAAGGCUGAAAUUCGCCUUCAUGAAGCUGGAAUUGCUAGUAAUGGCAGGUCAGCAUACUGCCGUGAAUACGUUCCCGGGCCUUGUACACACCGCCCGUCACACCAUGAGAGUUGGGGAUACCCGAAGCCUGUGAGCUAACUUUUAGAGGCAGCAGUCGAAGGUAGAAUCAAUGAUUGGGGUGAAGUCGUAACAAGGUAGC